RNAcentral lists this long non-coding RNA (224 nucleotides) under Medicago truncatula (barrel medic). RNAcentral's name for it is "long non-coding RNA (MTRU_LNC003906)". Lineage: Eukaryota; Viridiplantae; Streptophyta; Magnoliopsida; Fabales; Fabaceae. The record is from RNAcentral.
UCCUUUUGGUCCGAAAUAGAAUAGAGCCUCAGAUACCUACUUCUAAAACUACUAUCUCCUCUCCAUAUGUCACCCCAAAAACUAGAGUUGAGACCAUUACCAACUUGUCGCUCCAACCCCGAAUUGAACCAAUUAAGCUCCCCAAAAUCACCAAGCUUAAUUAGGCCCUUCCACCAAAUAGAAGCCCAUCUCGGCUCCCCUCUAGACAAUCCCAUCAAACCUCC